RNAcentral lists this ribosomal RNA (1242 nucleotides) under metagenome. Its description in RNAcentral is "bacterial LSU rRNA". It matches the Rfam family "Bacterial large subunit ribosomal RNA", at positions 1461 to 2682 of the family's 2925-position model. The record is from RNAcentral.
CCUGUAGGGGGACGCAGGAAGGUAGAUGAACCCGGGCGAUGGUUGUCCCGGGGUAAGCGUGUAGGGAGAGGUGUAGGCAAAUCCGCACCUCACAUAUCCUGAGACGUGACACCGAGUCGUUUAGACGAAGUCAUUGAUCCUAUGCUGCCAAGAAAAGCCCAGCAGUUAGUUCAUAGAGUGCCCGUACCCCAAACCAACACAGGUGGAUAGGUAGAGAAUACCAAGGCGAUUGGGUGAACUGUGGUUAAGGAACUCGGCAAAAUGCAUGCGUAACUUCGGGAUAAGCAUGACCUCAUUAGGGUGAUGGGACUUGCUCCCUGAGCUCGAAGAGGUGGCACAGAAUUGGGGGAAGCGACUGUUUACUAAAAACACAGCAGCGUGCUAAGCCGUAAGGCGCUGUAUACGCUGUGACGCCUGCCCGGUGCUGGAAGGUCACGGGGAAGGGUUAGCUCUUAGGAGCGAAGCUCUGAACCUAAGCCCCAGUAAACGGCGGCCGUAACUAUAACGGUCCUAAGGUAGCGAAAUUCCUUGUCGGGUAAGUUCCGACCUGCACGAAUGGCGUAACGACUUCCCUACUGUCUCAACCACAGACCCAGCGGAAUUGAAGUACGAGUAAAGAUGCUCGUUAGCUGCAGAAGGACGAAAAGACCCCGUGGACCUUUACUAUAGCUUGAUAUUGAGUUUUGUUAUGCGUUGUGUAGGAUAGGUGGGAGGCUAGGAAGCAUGCACGCCAGUGUGUGUGGAGCCAACCUUGAAAUACCACCCUGCGUAUGGCGGGACUCUAACCUAGAUCCGUUAUCCGGAUCGGGAACAGUGUCAGGUGGGUAGUUUGACUGGGGCGGUCGCCUCCUAAAGAGUAACGGAGGCGCCCAAAGGUUCCCUCAGACUGGUUGGCAAUCAGUCGUCGAGUGCAAUGGCAUAAGGGAGCUUGACUGCGAGACGUACAUGUCGAGCAGGUGCGAAAGCAGGGCAUAGUGAUCCGGCGGUUGCGUGUGGAAGCGCCGUCGCUCAACGGAUAAAAGGUACCCCGGGGAUAACAGGCUAAUCUUCCCCAAGAGUCCAUAUCGACGGGAAGGUUUGGCACCUCGAUGUCAGCUCAUCGCAUCCUGGGGCUGAAGCAGGUCCCAAGGGUUGGGCUGUUCGCCCAUUAAAGCGGUACGCGAGCUGGGUUUAGAACGUCGCGAGACAGUUCGGUCCCUAUCCUCUGCAGCCGGAAGUGACUUGAGAAUAGCUAUCCCUAGU